AUACGGAGGGUGCGAGCGUUGUUCGGAAUUAUUGGGCGUAAAGAGCAUGUAGGCGGUCUGUUAAGUCUGGUGUGAAAGCCCGGGGCUCAACCCCGGAAGUGCAUUGGAUACUGGCAGACUUGAGUAUGGGAGAGGAAAGCGGAAUUCCAAGUGUAGGAGUGAAAUCCGUAGAUAUUCGGAGGAACACCAGUGGCGAAGGCGGCUUUCUGGACCAAUACUGACGCUGAGAUGCGAAAGCGUGGGGAGCAAACAGGAUUAGAAACCCUUGUAGUCC
RNAcentral lists this ribosomal RNA (274 nucleotides) under uncultured bacterium. RNAcentral's name for it is "partial 16S ribosomal RNA". It matches the Rfam family "Bacterial small subunit ribosomal RNA", at positions 523 to 796 of the family's 1533-position model. The record is from RNAcentral.